This 478-nucleotide ribosomal RNA is filed under the name uncultured bacterium. Its description in RNAcentral is "partial 16S ribosomal RNA". It matches the Rfam family "Bacterial small subunit ribosomal RNA", at positions 28 to 507 of the family's 1533-position model. The record is from RNAcentral.
GACGAACGCUGGCGGCGUGCUUAACACAUGCGAGUCGAACGUGAUUUUUGUGGAAAUUCUUUCGGGAAUGGAAAUGAAAUGAAAGUGGCGAACGGGUGAGUAACACGUGAGCAACCUACCUUACACAGGGGGAUAGCCGUUGGAAACGACGAUUAAUACCGCAUGAGACCACAGAAUCGCAUGAUAUAGGGGUCAAAGAUUUAUCGGUGUAAGAAGGGCUCGCGUCUGAUUAGCUAGUUGGAAGGGUAAAGGCCUACCAAGGCGACGAUCAGUAGCCGGUCUGAGAGGAUGAACGGCCACAUUGGAACUGAGACACGGUCCAAACUCCUACGGGAGGCAGCAGUGGGGAAUAUUGCACAAUGGGGGGAACCCUGAUGCAGCGACGCCGCGUGAGCGAAGAAGGUUUUCGAAUCGUAAAGCUCUGUCCUAUGAGAAGAUAAUGACGGUAUCAUAGGAGGAAGCCCCGGCUAAAUACGUG